AUUGAACGCUGGCGGCCGGCCUAACACAUGCAAGUCGAACGCGUGGCGGACGUGUGAGUAAUGUCUGGGAAACUGCCUGAGGGAGGGGGAUACCUACUGGAAACGGACGCUACAACCGCAUACCAGCAGAUGUGCCCGGGUGGGAUGAGCUUGUUGGUGGGGUAACGGCUCACCAAGGCGACGAUCCGUAGCUGGUCUGAGAGGAUGACCAGCAACACUGGAACUGAGACACGGUCCAGACUCCUACGGGAGGCAGCAGUGGGGAAUAUUGCACAAUGGGCGAAAGCCUGAUGCAGCCAUGCCGCGUGUAUGAAGAAGGCCUUCGGGUUGUAAAGUACUUUCAGCGGGGAGGCGUUACCCGCAGAAGAAGCACCGGCUAACUCCGUGCCAGCCGCCGCGGUAAUAC
RNAcentral lists this ribosomal RNA (406 nucleotides) under uncultured bacterium. RNAcentral's name for it is "partial 16S ribosomal RNA". It matches the Rfam family "Bacterial small subunit ribosomal RNA", at positions 29 to 526 of the family's 1533-position model. The record is from RNAcentral.